UCCGUAAGAAGAUAAGGGUCGAAAGACGAAGGUAGGGAGAGGCAUCCCUUCUUGUGAAGGCAGUGCUUGGUGGGAAGACGAUGGUGAAACAACGGUGCAAAUGGAGAGGAAGAGCUUCGUGGGAAGGAAGAUGUGGAAAGACGAAGGGAGGGAGAGUUCGUGGGAAGAUGAAGGGAGGGGAUCUCUUUGGGAUGAAACGAAUCGUUUAAGUAUUUGACUAAAACGGAACGUUUCAUUUUUCACGUGGGCACCGGUUCCCCUGCGAUUACGCACGACUACUGCAUUUAGCU
Molecule: long non-coding RNA, 290 nt
Organism: Juglans microcarpa x Juglans regia
Lineage: Eukaryota; Viridiplantae; Streptophyta; Magnoliopsida; Fagales; Juglandaceae
Exons: 4
Source: RefSeq, a predicted model, not a curated record